Molecule: ribosomal RNA, 873 nt
Filed under: uncultured Pseudomonadales bacterium
Lineage: Bacteria; Pseudomonadati; Pseudomonadota; Gammaproteobacteria; Pseudomonadales
Description: bacterial SSU rRNA
Rfam family: Bacterial small subunit ribosomal RNA
Source: RNAcentral
AUUGAACGCUGGCGGCAGGCCUAACACAUGCAAGUCGAGCGGAUGAAGGGAGCUUGCUCCUGGAUUCAGCGGCGGACGGGUGAGUAAUGCCUAGGAAUCUGCCUGGUAGUGGGGGAUAACGUCCGGAAACGGGCGCUAAUACCGCAUACGUCCUGAGGGAGAAAGUGGGGGAUCUUCGGACCUCACGCUAUCAGAUGAGCCUAGGUCGGAUUAGCUAGUUGGUGGGGUAAAGGCCUACCAAGGCGACGAUCCGUAACUGGUCUGAGAGGAUGAUCAGUCACACUGGAACUGAGACACGGUCCAGACUCCUACGGGAGGCAGCAGUGGGGAAUAUUGGACAAUGGGCGAAAGCCUGAUCCAGCCAUGCCGCGUGUGUGAAGAAGGUCUUCGGAUUGUAAAGCACUUUAAGUUGGGAGGAAGGGCAGUAAGUUAAUACCUUGCUGUUUUGACGUUACCAACAGAAUAAGCACCGGCUAACUUCGUGCCAGCAGCCGCGGUAAUACGAAGGGUGCAAGCGUUAAUCGGAAUUACUGGGCGUAAAGCGCGCGUAGGUGGUUCAGCAAGUUGGAUGUGAAAUCCCCGGGCUCAACCUGGGAACUGCAUCCAAAACUACUGAGCUAGAGUACGGUAGAGGGUGGUGGAAUUUCCUGUGUAGCGGUGAAAUGCGUAGAUAUAGGAAGGAACACCAGUGGCGAAGGCGACCACCUGGACUGAUACUGACACUGAGGUGCGAAAGCGUGGGGAGCAAACAGGAUUAGAUACCCUGGUAGUCCACGCCGUAAACGAUGUCGACUAGCCGUUGGGGUCCUUGAGAUCUUAGUGGCGCAGCUAACGCGAUAAGUCGACCGCCUGGGGAGUACGGCCGCAAGGUUA